CCUACGGGAGGCAGCAGUGGGGAAUAUUGGGCAAUGGGCGCAAGCCUGACCCAGCAACGCCGCGUGAAGGAAGAAGGCUUUCGGGUUGUAAACCUCUUUUGUCAGGGACGAAGCAAGUGACGGUACCUGAUGAAUAAGCCACGGCUAACUACGUGCCAGCAGCCGCGGUAAUACGUAGGUGGCAAGCGUUAUCCGGAUUUACGGGGUGUAAAGGGCGUGUAGGCGGGACUGCAAGUCAGAUGUGAAAGCCACGGGCUCAACCUGUGGACUGCAUUUGAAACUGUAGUUCUUGAGUGCGGGAGAGGCAGACGGAAUUCCUGGUGUAGCGGUGAAAUGCGUAGAUAUUAGGAAGAACACCGGUGGCGAAGGCGGUCUGCUGGACAGCAACUGACGCUGAGGCGCGAAAGCGUGGGGAGCAAACAGGAUUAGAUACCCGUGUAGUC
Molecule: ribosomal RNA, 443 nt
Filed under: uncultured bacterium
Lineage: Bacteria
Description: partial 16S ribosomal RNA
Rfam family: Bacterial small subunit ribosomal RNA
Source: RNAcentral